This 433-nucleotide ribosomal RNA is filed under the name uncultured bacterium. RNAcentral describes it as "partial 16S ribosomal RNA". It matches the Rfam family "Bacterial small subunit ribosomal RNA", at positions 29 to 507 of the family's 1533-position model. The record is from RNAcentral.
AACGAACGCUGGCGGCAUGCCUAACACAUGCAAGUCGAACGAGACCUUCGGGUCUAGUGGCGCACGGGUGCGUAACGCGUGGGAAUCUGCCCUUGGGUUCGGAAUAACAGCUGGAAACGACUGCUAAUACCGGAUGAUGACGUAAGUCCAAAGAUUUAUCGCCCAGGGAUGAGCCCGCGUAGGAUUAGCUAGUUGGUGGGGUAAAGGCCUACCAAGGCGACGAUCCUUAGCUGGUCUGAGAGGAUGAUCAGCCACACUGGGACUGAGACACGGCCCAGACUCCUACGGGAGGCAGCAGUGGGGAAUAUUGGACAAUGGGCGAAAGCCUGAUCCAGCAAUGCCGCGUGAGUGAUGAAGGCCUUAGGGUUGUAAAGCUCUUUUACCCGGGAUGAUAAUGACAGUACCGGGAGAAUAAGCCCCGGCUAACUCCGUG